Molecule: long non-coding RNA, 206 nt
Filed under: Lathyrus oleraceus (garden pea)
Lineage: Eukaryota; Viridiplantae; Streptophyta; Magnoliopsida; Fabales; Fabaceae
Description: Pisum sativum (pea) long non-coding RNA (PSAT_LNC035364)
Source: RNAcentral
CCUCUUCCACUUGACAGACUCUGGACAAAAGAUCUGGGGCACAUGUUCAGAAGCAUCAGCACGUAGUGCGAGCAUAAAAAACGACACACUGAAUAAAGGGGGAUCGGCUACUAAUCCCUUUUAUCCGUCAAAUGCCUCUUCUCUUGGAGGUCUUAUCAAAUAUAACACAUGCCUCCUCUUGGAGGUCUUUGGGCACAAUUUUAAAC